CGCCCACUGGCUGCUCCCACCAGCCCAGGCACAGAGGGGAGCUACCCUCAGCCCUGGGGCUCUUGUCCCCUCUGCAGAGCUUAACUCCAGGCAGCACUGCCCAGAGCCCCUCCGACCCACGUCCGCUGGCCAUGUGCACAGCCCAGGCCUGGAGAGGGCUUCGGAAGUCCUGUCCACGCCAUCACACCAGACCCCGGGCUGUACUCGGGAUCUCUGCCUGAGGUUCAGGCCGUGGUGACCAGCGAAGCUGACUCCGCACCAGCAAACCCAGCUCCUCCCUAGAGGGCAGCCCCCCCAGCGAGCUCCCCACAGACCUGCCCUACAGACUCAACUCCCAGGGCCUCGGACACACUGCGCCUCUCAGUCAGCUCCAGAGACACGCGGAGCCCCGACGACACCUGCCCACACUCCUCACCAGGCCAAGGCGAAGGAUCUCCCAGCGUCACUCCUCAGCUGUAAAUGGGUUCACGGCCUUGGGUCCGUAGGAGAGGCAGGAGGUCCACGUGCACCACUCAGAAUACCAGUGGGCACAUCAUCUGGGUUCAGAUAACUGUUGGAGAAGUGUCCGUUUGCUCUCAAGACCGCCCUGCUACCGUCCACUUCCUUCCUGGUAAUGGUCUUAAAAAUGCUUGUGUGGUGCAAGAGGCCCUGCAAGAUGAGAGCCCCCUAGGCCUGUGCUCCCACCCUUCUCCAGAGCGGCCCAUGCUCCAGAUCAGGUGGUUGCAGCUCUACCUGUUGUUGAGUCUCGUCCCCUUUUCUCCCUCCUGAGAAGCAG
RNAcentral lists this long non-coding RNA (775 nucleotides) under Marmota monax (woodchuck). The record is from RNAcentral. Lineage: Eukaryota; Metazoa; Chordata; Mammalia; Rodentia; Sciuridae.